UAGGGAAUCUUCGGCAAUGGACGAAAGUCUGACCGAGCAACGCCGCGUGAGUGAAGAAGGUUUUCGGAUCGUAAAACUCUGUUGUUAGAGAAGAACAAGGACGUUAGUAACUGAACGUCCCCUGACGGUAUCUAACCAGAAAGCCACGGCUAACUACGUGCCAGCAGCCGCGGUAAUACGUAGGUGGCAAGCGUUGUCCGGAUUUAUUGGGCGUAAAGCGGGCGCAGGCGGUUUCUUAAGUCUGAUGUGAAAGCCCCCGGCUCAACCGGGGAGGGUCAUUGGAAACUGGGAGACAUGAGUGCAGAAGAGGAGAGUGGAAUUCCAUGUGUGGCGGUGAGAUGCGUAGAUGUAUGGAGGAACACCAGUGGCGAAGGCGUCUCUCUGGUCUGUAACUGACGCUGGGGCUCGAAGGCGUGGGGAGCAAACAGG
Molecule: ribosomal RNA, 429 nt
Filed under: Gemmatimonadota bacterium
Lineage: Bacteria; Pseudomonadati; Gemmatimonadota
Description: Gemmatimonadetes bacterium partial 16S ribosomal RNA
Rfam family: Bacterial small subunit ribosomal RNA
Source: RNAcentral